RNAcentral lists this ribosomal RNA (468 nucleotides) under uncultured bacterium. Its description in RNAcentral is "partial 16S ribosomal RNA". It matches the Rfam family "Bacterial small subunit ribosomal RNA", at positions 28 to 507 of the family's 1533-position model. The record is from RNAcentral.
GGCGAACGCUGGCGGCGUGCUUAACACAUGCAAGUCGAACGGAAAGGCCUUGCUUCUGUGGGCUAUUCGAGUGGCUAACGAGUGAGUAACUAGUGAGUAACCUGCCCUUCACUUUGGGAUAACUUCAGGAAACUGGGGCUAGUUCCUACUACGAGCUCCUUCUGCAUGGCGGGGGUUGUAAAGUUGCGGCGGUUGGGGAUGGUCGCGGGGCUUUUCAGCUUGGUGGUGAGGUAGUGGCUUACCAAGGCGUUGACGGGUAGCCGGCCUGAGAGGGUGACCGGCCACAUUGGGACUGAGGUAGGGCCCAGACUGCUACGGGAGGCAGCAGUGGGAAAUAGUGCGAAAUGGGCGGAAGCAGGAAGCAGCGACUCCGCGUGGGGGAUGACUGCCUUCGGGGUGUAAAGGGCUUUCGGCUAUGACGAAGAAGGAGUGACGGUAAUGGGUAAGGAAGCAACGGCUAACUACGUG